AUUGAACGCUGGCGGCAGGCCUAACACAUGCAAGUCGAGCGGAUGAAGGGAGCUUGCUCCUGGAUUCAGCGGCGGACGGGUGAGUAAUGCCUAGGAAUCUGCCUGGUAGUGGGGGAUAACGUCCGGAAACGGGCGCUAAUACCGCAUACGUCCUGAGGGAGAAAGUGGGGGAUCUUCGGACCUCACGCUAUCAGAUGAGCCUAGGUCGGAUUAGCUAGUUGGUGGGGUAAAGGCCUACCAAGGCGACGAUCCGUAACUGGUCUGAGAGGAGGAUCAGUCACACUGGAAGUGAGCCACGGUCCAGACGCCUACGGGAGGCAGCAGUGGGGAAUAUUGGACAGUGGGCGAAAGCCUGAUCCAGCCAUGCCGCGUGUGUGAAGAAGGUCUUCGGAUUGUAAAGCACUUUAAGUCGGGAGGAAGGGCAGUAAGUUAAUACCUUGCUGUUUGGACGUGACCAACAGAAUAAGCACCGGCUAACUUCGU
RNAcentral lists this ribosomal RNA (483 nucleotides) under uncultured bacterium. RNAcentral describes it as "partial 16S ribosomal RNA". It matches the Rfam family "Bacterial small subunit ribosomal RNA", at positions 30 to 506 of the family's 1533-position model. The record is from RNAcentral.